Molecule: long non-coding RNA, 550 nt
Filed under: Nicotiana benthamiana
Lineage: Eukaryota; Viridiplantae; Streptophyta; Magnoliopsida; Solanales; Solanaceae
Description: long non-coding RNA (NBEN_LNC040917)
Source: RNAcentral
AUCAAAUCUCUUCUUUUCACUAGCCAUGGUCUCUUGAAGCUCUGCUGUCAGCUUUGCGAUCUUCUCUUCCAUAGACGAUAUAGACGAUAUAGCCGAACUAUCAAUCGUCUCGUCUUGGGCGGAAGUCCCUAUACCUUGCAAUCCAGUCCUGUAGCAUCGAAACGAUUUAUCUGAAAGGCCGUAUGUUAUCCCCUUUCUAGGACCACCGACAAUAUCAAACCAUAUCAUCUUCUCUUCUUCGUCUGAAAUGGGCGGUCGCUCGCCUUGCUCAUUCGUUGGCAAGCUCUGAGUGUACUCCUCCAAAUUGAUCUUGUCGCGAUCCUUUAUUUAGAAGAUAGAAAAUUAGUAAUUAUAUAAUAUUGUAAACAUUUAUAAUAGUUAUGAAACUUACAUGUGUAGUCUCUGCCCGAUCCUCCACCCAUCUAGUUGGAUCUUCGGUGCUUUCUUCUUUCGGAUGUGAGUCUCCAUGAAGAUCUCAUCAUGACUCAUCUUCCUCCCCAAUUUUUUCCCUACAAAUAUCGUGUUAACAAAAGUUGUAGCUAUACUGGCA